Molecule: ribosomal RNA, 460 nt
Filed under: uncultured bacterium
Lineage: Bacteria
Description: partial 16S ribosomal RNA
Rfam family: Bacterial small subunit ribosomal RNA
Source: RNAcentral
CCUACGGGAGGCAGCAGUGAGGAAUAUUGGUCAAUGGGCGCUAGCCUGAACCAGCAAAGCAGCGUGAAGGAUGACUGCCCUAUGGGUUGUAAACUCCUUUUAUAUGGGAAUAAAGUGCAGUAUGUAUACUGCUUUGCAUGUACCUUAUGAAUAAGGAUCGGCUAACUCAGUGCCAGCAGCCGCGGUAAUACGGAGGAUCCGAGCGUUAUCCGGAUUUAUUGGGUUUAAAGGGAGCGUAGGCGGGUUGUUAAGUCAGUUGUGAACGUUGGCGGCUCAACCGUAGAAUUGCAGUUGAUACUGGCGUCCUUGAGUACAGUAGAGGUAGGCGGAAUUCGUGGUGUAGCGGUGAAAUGCUUAGAUAUCACGAAGAACUCCGAUUGCGAAGGCAGCCUGCUGGACUGUAACUGACGCUGAUGCUCGAAAGUGUGGGUAUCAAACAGGAUUAGAUACCCCAGUAGUC